AGAGUUUGAUCAGUGGCUCAGGAAUAAACGCUGGCGGGCGUGCCUAACACAUGCAAGUCGAACGAUCCCGCAAGGGAGAGUGGCGGAAGGGUGAGUAACACGUGGGAAUCUACCUCCUCGCAGGGAACAACCUCUCGAAAGAGAGGCUAAUACCCAAAAGGGUCAGAAAUGAUCAGAGUCGAAAGGCGUGAGGAGAGGAGCCCGCGGCCCAUCAGCUAGUUGGUGAGGUAAUGGCUUACCAAGGCUACGACGGGUAGGGGAUCUGAGAGGAUGUCCCCCACACUGGAACUGAAACACGGUCCAGACGCCUACGGGUGGCAGCAGUGAGGAAUAUUGGACAAUGGGCGAAAGCCCGAUCCAGCAACGCCGCGUGGAGGAUGAAGGCCUUCGGGUCGUAAACUUCUUUAGAGGGAGACGAGAAAGGACGGUAUCCCUAGAAUAAGCGACGGCAAACUACGUG
Molecule: ribosomal RNA, 460 nt
Filed under: uncultured bacterium
Lineage: Bacteria
Description: bacterial SSU rRNA
Rfam family: Bacterial small subunit ribosomal RNA
Source: RNAcentral